CAAAAGGCUCUUUUCAGAGCCACUCUCUUAAUCAACAAAAGGAGCU
This is a non-coding RNA of Mustela putorius furo (domestic ferret), 46 nucleotides long. The record is from Rfam. Lineage: Eukaryota; Metazoa; Chordata; Mammalia; Carnivora; Mustelidae.